Molecule: ribosomal RNA, 253 nt
Filed under: uncultured bacterium
Lineage: Bacteria
Description: partial 16S ribosomal RNA
Rfam family: Bacterial small subunit ribosomal RNA
Source: RNAcentral
CACGUAGGGGGCGAGCGUUGUCCGGAUUUAUUGGGCGUAAAGAGCGUGUAGGCGGCCAGGUAGGUCUGCUGUGAAAACUCGAGGCUCAACCUCGAGACGUCGGCGGAAACCAUCUGGCUAGAGUCCGGAAGAGGAGAGUGGAAUUCCUGGUGUAGCGGUGAAAUGCGCAGAUAUCAGGAAGAACACCCGUGGCGAAGGCGGCUCUCUGGGACGGUACUGACGCUGAGACGCGAAAGCGUGGGGAGCGAACAGG